This 480-nucleotide ribosomal RNA is filed under the name uncultured bacterium. RNAcentral describes it as "partial 16S ribosomal RNA". It matches the Rfam family "Bacterial small subunit ribosomal RNA", at positions 28 to 507 of the family's 1533-position model. The record is from RNAcentral.
GAUGAACGCUAGCGGCAGGCCUAACACAUGCAAGUCGAGGGGUAGAAGGAGCUUGCUCCUUUGAGACCGGCGCACGGGUGCGUAACGCGUAUGCAAUCUACCUUGUACAGGGGAAUAGCCCAGAGAAAUUUGGAUUAAUGCCCCAUAGUAUAUAACCUUCGCAUGUUGGUUAUAUUAAAGUUCCAACGGUACAAGAUGAGCAUGCGUCCCAUUAGUUAGUUGGUAAGGUAACGGCUUACCAAGACGAUGAUGGGUAGGGGUCCUGAGAGGGAGAUCCCCCACACUGGUACUGAGACACGGACCAGACUGCUACGGGAGGCAGCAGUGAGGAAUAUUGGUCAAUGGUCGCAAGACUGAACCAGCCAUGCCGCGUGCAGGAAGACGGUCCUAUGGAUUGUAAACUGCUUUUAUACAGGAAGAAACCCUCCCACGUGUGGGAGCUUGACGGUACUGUAGGAAUAAGGAUCGGCUAACUCCGUG